RNAcentral lists this non-coding RNA (221 nucleotides) under Syntrophothermus lipocalidus. RNAcentral describes it as "T-box sequence". It matches the Rfam family "T-box leader". Rfam says of the family: Uncharged tRNA acts as the effector for transcription antitermination of genes in the T-box leader family. Lineage: Bacteria; Bacillati; Bacillota; Clostridia; Eubacteriales; Syntrophomonadaceae. The record is from RNAcentral.
UUAAUGGCUAUGAACAGGAGUAGUAACCGGCCAGGAACCUUACAGGGAGGCUGCACCGGCGACUGGAAGUGCGGCCAGGGAAAGGCCGGCGAAUUCGCCUGGGAGCCGGGGGCUGAACUGGCAGUAGGCCAACCUCGGGGGCCCACCGUUAUCGGGCUAGAGAGAGCAGCGGCACGAGCUGCUAAGUAGGGUGGUACCGCGGAAAUACAUCCGUCCCUUAG